RNAcentral lists this ribosomal RNA (3071 nucleotides) under Campylobacter jejuni 20176. Its description in RNAcentral is "bacterial LSU rRNA". It matches the Rfam family "Bacterial large subunit ribosomal RNA". The record is from RNAcentral. Lineage: Bacteria; Pseudomonadati; Campylobacterota; Epsilonproteobacteria; Campylobacterales; Campylobacteraceae.
AAAAAAGGUAAGCUACUAAGAGCGAAUGGUGGAUGCCUUGACUGGUAAAGGCGAUGAAGGACGUACUAGACUGCGAUAAGCUACGGGGAGCUGUCAAGAAGCUUUGAUCCGUAGAUUUCCGAAUGGGGCAACCCAAUGUAUAGAGAUAUACAUUACCUAUAUAGGAGCGAACGAGGGGAAUUGAAACAUCUUAGUACCCUCAGGAAAAGAAAUCAAUAGAGAUUGCGUCAGUAGCGGCGAGCGAAAGCGCAAGAGGGCAAACCCAGUGCUUGCACUGGGGGUUGUAGGACUGCAAUGUGCAAGAGGUAAGUUUAGCAGAACAUUCUGGAAAGUAUAACCAUAGAGGGUGAUAGUCCCGUAUGCGAAAAACAAACCUUAGCUAGCAGUAUCCUGAGUAGGGCGGGACACGAGGAAUCCUGUCUGAAUCCGGGUCGACCACGAUCCAACCCUAAAUACUAAUACCAGAUCGAUAGUGCACAAGUACCGUGAGGGAAAGGUGAAAAGAACUGAGGUGAUCAGAGUGAAAUAGAACCUGAAACCAUUUGCUUACAAUCAUUCAGAGCACUAUGUAGCAAUACAGUGUGAUGGACUGCCUUUUGCAUAAUGAGCCUGCGAGUUGUGGUGUCUGGCAAGGUUAAGCAAACGCGAAGCCGUAGCGAAAGCGAGUCUGAAUAGGGCGCUUAGUCAGAUGCUGCAGACCCGAAACGAAGUGAUCUAUCCAUGAGCAAGUUGAAGCUAGUGUAAGAACUAGUGGAGGACUGAACCCAUAGGCGUUGAAAAGCCCCGGGAUGACUUGUGGAUAGGGGUGAAAGGCCAAUCAAACUUCGUGAUAGCUGGUUCUCUCCGAAAUAUAUUUAGGUAUAGCGUUGUGUCGUAAUAUAAGGGGGUAGAGCACUGAAUGGGCUAGGGCAUACACCAAUGUACCAAACCCUAUCAAACUCCGAAUACCUUAUAUGUAAUCACAGCAGUCAGGCGGCGAGUGAUAAAAUCCGUCGUCAAGAGGGAAACAACCCAGACUACCAGCUAAGGUCCCUAAAUCUUACUUAAGUGGAAAACGAUGUGAAGUUACUUAAACAACCAGGAGGUUGGCUUAGAAGCAGCCAUCCUUUAAAGAAAGCGUAAUAGCUCACUGGUCUAGUGAUUUUGCGCGGAAAAUAUAACGGGGCUAAAGUAAGUACCGAAGCUGUAGACUUGCACACAACUUAGAUUAUUUAAGUUUAGAAUAUGAGAAACUAAGUUAUAUGUUUAGUUAUAUUUUUACUGAUUUUUAUAGAGUAAAGAUAGAAAUAAAACUUAGUAAAAUCAGUAAAAAUAUUCUUAGACUAAAGUUAAGUAGUUUAAGUUGUGUGCAAGUGGUAGGAGAGCGUUCUAUUUGCGUCGAAGGUAUACCGGUAAGGAGUGCUGGAGCGAAUAGAAGUGAGCAUGCAGGCAUGAGUAGCGAUAAUUAAUGUGAGAAUCAUUAACGCCGUAAACCCAAGGUUUCCUACGCGAUGCUCGUCAUCGUAGGGUUAGUCGGGUCCUAAGUCGAGUCCGAAAGGGGUAGACGAUGGCAAAUUGGUUAAUAUUCCAAUACCAACAUUAGUGUGCGAUGGAAGGACGCUUAGGGCUAAGGGGGCUAGCGGAUGGAAGUGCUAGUCUAAGGUCGUAGGAGGUUGUACAGGCAAAUCCGUAUAACAAUACUCCGAGAACUGAAAGGCUUUUUGAAGUCUUCGGAUGGAUAGAAGAACCCCUGAUGCCGUCGAGCCAAGAAAAGUUUCUAAGUUUAGCUAAUGUUGCCCGUACCGUAAACCGACACAGGUGGGUGGGAUGAGUAUUCUAAGGCGCGUGGAAGAACUCUCUUUAAGGAACUCUGCAAAAUAGCACCGUAUCUUCGGUAUAAGGUGUGGUUAGCUUCGUACUAGGAUUUACUCCGAAAGCGAAGAAACUUACAACAAAGAGUCCCUCCCGACUGUUUACCAAAAACACAGCACUCUGCUAACUCGUAAGAGGAUGUAUAGGGUGUGACGCCUGCCCGGUGCUCGAAGGUUAAUUGAUGGGGUUAGCAUUAGCGAAGCUCUUGAUCGAAGCCCGAGUAAACGGCGGCCGUAACUAUAACGGUCCUAAGGUAGCGAAAUUCCUUGUCGGUUAAAUACCGACCUGCAUGAAUGGCGUAACGAGAUGGGAGCUGUCUCAAAGAGGGAUCCAGUGAAAUUGUAGUGGAGGUGAAAAUUCCUCCUACCCGCGGCAAGACGGAAAGACCCCGUGGACCUUUACUACAGCUUGACACUGCUACUUGGAUAAGAAUGUGCAGGAUAGGUGGGAGGCUUUGAGUAUAUGACGCCAGUUGUAUAUGAGCCAUUGUUGAGAUACCACUCUUUCUUAUUUGGGUAGCUAACCAGCUUGAGUUAUCCUCAAGUGGGACAAUGUCUGGUGGGUAGUUUGACUGGGGCGGUCGCCUCCCAAAUAAUAACGGAGGCUUACAAAGGUUGGCUCAGAACGGUUGGAAAUCGUUCGUAGAGUAUAAAGGUAUAAGCCAGCUUAACUGCAAGACAUACAAGUCAAGCAGAGACGAAAGUCGGUCUUAGUGAUCCGGUGGUUCUGUGUGGAAGGGCCAUCGCUCAAAGGAUAAAAGGUACCCCGGGGAUAACAGGCUGAUCUCCCCCAAGAGCUCACAUCGACGGGGAGGUUUGGCACCUCGAUGUCGGCUCAUCGCAUCCUGGGGCUGGAGCAGGUCCCAAGGGUAUGGCUGUUCGCCAUUUAAAGCGGUACGCGAGCUGGGUUCAGAACGUCGUGAGACAGUUCGGUCCCUAUCUGCCGUGGGCGUAAGAAGAUUGAAGAGAUUUGACCCUAGUACGAGAGGACCGGGUUGAACAAACCACUGGUGUAGCUGUUGUUCUGCCAAGAGCAUCGCAGCGUAGCUAAGUUUGGAAAGGAUAAACGCUGAAAGCAUCUAAGCGUGAAGCCAACUCUAAGAUGAAUCUUCUCUAAGCUCUCUAGAAGACUACUAGUUUGAUAGGCUGGGUGUGUAAUGGAUGAAAGUCCUUUAGCUGACCAGUACUAAUAGAGCGUUUGGCUUAUCUUUAAUAAAGCAU